This 156-nucleotide non-coding RNA is filed under the name Subdoligranulum variabile. Lineage: Bacteria; Bacillati; Bacillota; Clostridia; Eubacteriales; Oscillospiraceae. The record is from RNAcentral.
GGUUGGCCGGGAGAAUAGGGAAGCAGGUGCAAGACCUGCGCGGGACCGCCGCCGUAAUGGCCGAGCCUGAACCCAACCCCAUGUCACUGCACGAUGGUGCGGGAAGACGCGGGUCCGGGCCGUGACGCCAGAGCCGGAAGACCUGCCUUGGAAUUC